UGAUCCUGCCGGAGGCUACUGCUAUCGGAAUUCGAUUAAGCCAUGCGAGUCGAGAGGGUUCGGCCCUCGGCUGACGGCUCAGUAACACGUGGAUAACCUGCCCUCAGGUAGGGGAUAAUCUCGGGAAACUGAGGAUAAUACCCUAUAAACAUCCUUUGCUGGAAUGCUUGGAUGUUCAAAGGCAACGCCUGAGGAUGGGUCUGCGGCCUAUCAGGUUGUAGUGGGUGUAACGGACCCACUAGCCCGCGACGGGUACGGGCCUUGAAAGAGGUAGCCCGGAGAUGGACUCUGAGACACGAGUCCAGGCCCUACGGGGCGCAGCAGGCGCGAAAACUUCGCAAUGCGGGAAACCGUGACGAGGGAAUUCCGAGUGCUCAUACAAUGUAUGGGCUUUUCUUAUGUGUAAAAAGCAUGAGGAAUAAGGGCUGGGUAAGACCGGUGCCAGCCGCCGCGGUAAUACCGGCAGCUCUAGUGGUAGUCACUUUUAUUGGGCCUAAAGCGUCCGUAGCCGGUCGGGUAAAUCCUUGGGUAAAUCGUACCGCUCAACUGUGCGGCUUCCGGGGAGACUGCCCGACUUGGGACCGGGAGAGGUUGGAGGUACUCCUGGGGUAGGGGUGAAAUCCUGUAAUCCUAGGUGGACCACC
Molecule: ribosomal RNA, 644 nt
Filed under: uncultured archaeon
Lineage: Archaea
Description: bacterial SSU rRNA
Rfam family: Archaeal small subunit ribosomal RNA
Source: RNAcentral